This is a long non-coding RNA of Perca flavescens (yellow perch), 305 nucleotides long. RefSeq lists it as uncharacterized. NCBI's taxonomy places the organism in Eukaryota, Metazoa, Chordata, Actinopteri, Perciformes, Percidae. The transcript has 2 exons. The record is from RefSeq and is a predicted model, not a curated record.
GCCAGCACUCCAAUGCAUCCUGUGUGAGUCUUCAUGAGUUAACCACACAGACAAUGCAACGAAUCCAAUUCACCCUGAAUUAUAUAAUAAAAUACCACUGGUGCUGCAUCAAGCCCUGCCUUCUCCCUGCUUCACAUUCAUCAGUCCAUAUCACCUGAUGUCUUCUGACUGAGACUGUUUGUUUGCUCACCACACCCUCACUCCACCUGAACCAUUCCCAUCGCCUUACAGUUCCUUCAAAACUACUUUGCUAUGUUUAGGAAAAAGAUUGUGGUUUGGGUUACAAUAAAGUGUUACGUAACUUA